GCUGGAGACACUAUUAGACUUGAGACCGGGAGAGGUUAGAGGUACUCCCAGGGUAGAGGUGAAAUUCUGUAAUCCUGGGAGGACCGCCUGUUGCGAAGGCGUCUAACUGGAACGGUUCUGACGGUGAGGGACGAAAGUUAGGGGCGCGAACCGGAUUAGAUACCCGGGUAGUCCUAACUGUAAACGAUGCGGACUUGGUGUUGGGUGGCUUUGAGCUGCUCCAGUGCCGAAGGGAAGCUGUUAAGUCCGCCGCCUGGGAAGUACGGUCGCAAGACUGAAACUUAAGGAAUUGGCGGGGGAGCACCACAACGCGUGGAGCCUGCCGGUUUAAUUGGAUUCAACGCCGGACAUCUCACCAGAGGCGACAGCUGUAUGAUAGCCAGGUUGAUGACUUUGCUUGACUAGCUGAGUGGAGGUGCAUGG
This 423-nucleotide ribosomal RNA is filed under the name uncultured archaeon. RNAcentral's name for it is "bacterial SSU rRNA". It matches the Rfam family "Archaeal small subunit ribosomal RNA", at positions 574 to 997 of the family's 1478-position model. The record is from RNAcentral.